RNAcentral lists this ribosomal RNA (393 nucleotides) under uncultured bacterium. RNAcentral's name for it is "partial 16S ribosomal RNA". It matches the Rfam family "Bacterial small subunit ribosomal RNA", at positions 523 to 918 of the family's 1533-position model. The record is from RNAcentral.
AUACGGAAGGUCCGGGCGUUAUCCGGAUUUAUUGGGUUUAAAGGGAGCGCAGGCGGAGAUGCAAGCGUGACGUCAAAUUUCGGGGCUCAACCCCGUCUCGCGUCGCGAACUGCGUCCCUUGGUUGCGGGAAGGGGAGGCGGAACUCGUGGUGUAGCGGUGAAAUGCAUAGAUAUCACGAAGAACUCCGAUCGCGAAGGCAGCCUUCCGGCCCGUCAACGACGCUCAUGCUCGAAGGUGCGGGUAUCAAACAGGAUUAGAUACCCUGGUAGUCCGCACAGUUAACGAUGGACACCCGCGGUUUGGCCUAUAUGGCUGAGCCGCCAAGCGAAAGCGUUAAGUGUCCCACCUGGGGAGUACGCCGGCAACGGUGAAACUCAAAGGAAUUGACGGGG